AGAGGGCUCAAAAUAGCAGCACUAUGAUCAGUCCACAAGGGGGAUUUAGUGACAGCAGAGGGUGCGUGGCUGUAUAUCAGCGUAGUUGGGGGGAUGAGAGGAGGCAGAGUCGAUCAUCGUGGAGACUGCCAAGUUCCAUCAGCCGUCCGUGGGGUAGUCGUGGCCGGGGACUGCUGCGGCGAGGGGGCGGCAUCCUUCUUAGCAGAGGGGUUCUCAGCUGUCUCUGGACGAAUGAGGCCUCCAGAGCUUCUCCUGAUCACGGCCUCUUUUCAGUAACUUGCGGCGAGAGGAGGAGGAAGACUUGACCGCUGAAAAAUGGGAGUCCUGCAUAUCCAGGAUGGCAAACCUGUUGGCCAGCGGGAGAUCCCGAUGUGAAGGAGGGGGAGGUAGGCGCUUUGCACCAUGUCUGUCCUUGCAGGCUACAGUCCAGUGCUCCAGUUGAUGUUGAGUCGAACUCACCGGAACCUUCUCACCACCCCCGCCGACGAGUGACCGUGCAUCUACUGGGGUUCGGUAAAGAGUGCACCCAUGAUGAGCCACAGAUCUUCAGGCUUAGCUGAAAUGGCUUCAUGCCCCGGGACGCCAGUAAUGAUGGAGCUGAGCCACAAAAGAGUGGGAUCAUUGUCCAGUACUGGAGUGGAGCAGUCGGGAUGAGAUGGGGAUAGUUGCAUUCUGGUUGCUGCAGCCAGAAGAGCUGAGGACUGUAAGGUGUUUUGCCUGGGCCGAGGCGACAGUGGAGAACUCCAGGAUGAGCUUGUCUUUUUCUCUGAGAUUGGCUUCCAGACAAGCAAUAAUUUUCUUCAGCUUUGAGAUGGUAAGGUGGCAAGAUCCACACUCAGCCAUCACACUUGCAGUUAGUCUGUAAAAGUGCUAAAAGCUUAAACUCCUUAAUAAAAGUGACCAGCUAGCCUAGCUCGGGCUAAAAACAAACCUAGCUGAGCUAGCAGCAGUGGAGGCAGUCCGGUAAACUUAAAAGUUGAUGUUAGUUAUGUUAUGCUCCACACAGUUAGAUUGCAUGCUAACUAUGUCCUUUUAACUUGGCAUCGUUAUCCUAAACUGACCACACAUAUACACCUCUAGUUUGACUUAAACACAACCACACACACGGCGGAGAGUAACUUUAAAGCUUAUGCUUCACAUGUUCCUUUGUUUUUGAUCACGUGGGAACAUGCACAUGCAGACUUUAUGUACUUCCUCCAAAGUCUUGGAUUUAAAUCCUAACAGUGUUUACUCCCGUAUCAACUCAUUGAAAUGUGGGACACGUUUCAGGCACACACUUGGUGAAAUGUUACAUUUGGUCAAUGAAAGUGAUAACGCGGCCACUGCAAAAAGCUUUUGUGCCGACAGAGUUGUAGUUUGGAAUUUAGUUAAUGAAUACAAGUUGUGUGAAUGUCUGUAUUUAGGCUACUUAUAUUACCUCCUACUACUACUGUUUCUAUGACUGCUGUUUUCAGCUAAACUGACACAAUUGGAAUAUAUAUGUUUUCUAGCAUAAACUGCAUUUUGACCCACAAACCAGGUGAACCUGUUAUGAGCCACAAAGCAAAGAGGGGAAAAAUGUCAACUGCUUUGAAGUCCAUCUUACAGUUUUUCUCAAUCGAUUUGGUACAUUUCUCCAAACUCAGGUAACAGCUCUCAAAACAGUUAACACAGUGAUCAGUACAAUUUGUAAUUGUCCUAAACAGAUAGUAAAUUCUUCUUCAUUUCAUACAAAUCACAUAUCAAAAGCAUAAUUUUCUCAAAACACUGUGCACAAAAAUCCCAAAUUUUAUCACAGCAGUUCAUACAGCCAACCAAAUCUUUAAUAUAUCAGGAAAAACAUUUGUAACUUUUUCAUUGUUCUUCACAAGAUCACAAGCAUUUUUGUACCAUUUUCAAAACACAACAAACAAAACUCAAAGACAAAUGAGGAGAUACAGUAAAACAAAAAAAAGAAGUAUGAGCAGUGGAAACAGAGGAGGUUUAAGAGUGAGAGGUGGUGGCUAGGGUAGAGGGAGAAGAGGAAGAGGAAGAGGAGAUAGAGAAAGGGAAAGAAGAGCUAAAGAUGUAGGAGGAAGAGCGAGAAGAGCUGAGGAUGUAGGAAGAGGAGAAGAGAUUGAAGAGAUGGAUAGAUUGGAGGGCAAUGGUAUAGUGGAAAGAGAAAAUAUAAGAAGAGGUGGACAGGGAGGAAGAGGAGGGCAAAGAGGAAGAGGAGGCCAAGGUGUAAGAGGAGGGAGGAGAGGUAGAAUGAGGGUAGGGUACACGCGUGUUUCAAAUGAAAUCAGAGCCACACUUAUUGACCAUGUCAUAAAUCAUGGUCUCUCACUGAGAGAAGCUGGCCAGAGAGUUCAGUCCAAUGUAAACAGAUCCACAGUGGCUUCAAUUAUCCGUACAUUUCAGAAGGAAAACCGGUAAGUAACUAUAUCAUUCUACUUUUACAAUGAGAGUCCAUGUAGUCUUGUUUGACAUAGGUCUAGAUCUCUACAGUAAAUGUUCCUGCUUGUCCAAACCUUUUUCAGAAUUGAAGUUAGAGAACAUUCAGGUGGACGAACAAGACUUUUUUCAGUUGAACAAGAGCAUGCCAUUGUUGACAUGGUGGUCCAGAACCACCCUAACCCUCUGCCUCAAAGAAAAUCAGCAAAGAAUAACACAGGACAAUCAACUGUUCCACAAUAUCCACCAAUGCAGUCUCUCCACAAUUAACCGUGUUCUAAGAAGAAAUGCUAUCCGAAUGAAGCAAGUAUACAAAGUGUCCUUUGAGAGGAACUUCGUUAGAGUGAAGGAGUUGCGAUUCCAGUUUGUUCAAAGAAUCUUGGAGUUGGAUAACAGUGCAACUCAUUAUGAGUACCUGUAUAUUGAUGAAGCAGGCUUCAAUC
Molecule: long non-coding RNA, 2855 nt
Organism: Siniperca chuatsi (mandarin fish)
Lineage: Eukaryota; Metazoa; Chordata; Actinopteri; Centrarchiformes; Sinipercidae
Exons: 2
Source: RefSeq, a predicted model, not a curated record